GACGAACUGUCCUAACGUUGUUCGGAAUCACUGGGCUUAAAGGGCGCGUAGGCGGUCCGACAAGUCAGGGGUGAAAUCCUGCAGCUUAACUGUAGAAGUGCCUUUGAUACUGUCGGUCUUGAGGGAGAUAGGGGUGUGCGGAACUUCCAGUGGAGCGGUGAAAUGCGUUGAUAUUGGAAGGAACGCCGGAGGCGAAAGCGGCGCACUGGAUCUCUUCUGACGCUGAGGCGCGAAAGCUAGGGGAGCAAAGCGGG
RNAcentral lists this ribosomal RNA (254 nucleotides) under uncultured bacterium. Its description in RNAcentral is "partial 16S ribosomal RNA". It matches the Rfam family "Bacterial small subunit ribosomal RNA", at positions 524 to 777 of the family's 1533-position model. The record is from RNAcentral.